UACGGAGGGGGUCAGUGUUGUUCGGAAUCACUGGGCGUAAAGGGCGCGUAGGCGGCCUGAUAAGUAGGGGGUGAAAUCCUGCGGCUUAACCGCAGGGCUGCCUUCUAAACUGUCGGGCUAGAGCACGGUAGAGGCAGAUGGAAUUCCCGGUGUAGCGGUGGAAUGCGUAGAGAUCGGGAAGAACAUCAGUGGCGAAGGCGGUCUGCUGGGCCGUUGCUGACGCUGAGGCGCGACAGCGUGGGGAGCAAACAGG
Molecule: ribosomal RNA, 253 nt
Filed under: uncultured bacterium
Lineage: Bacteria
Description: partial 16S ribosomal RNA
Rfam family: Bacterial small subunit ribosomal RNA
Source: RNAcentral